Molecule: ribosomal RNA, 689 nt
Filed under: Clostridioides difficile
Lineage: Bacteria; Bacillati; Bacillota; Clostridia; Peptostreptococcales; Peptostreptococcaceae
Description: bacterial LSU rRNA
Rfam family: Bacterial large subunit ribosomal RNA
Source: RNAcentral
AAUCGAAGCAGUGAACUUAAGCCCCAGUAAACGGCGGCCGUAACUAUAACGGUCCUAAGGUAGCGAAAUUCCUUGUCGGGUAAGUUCCGACCCGCACGAAAGGCGUAACGAUUUGGGCACUGUCUCAACAACAGACUCGGUGAAAUUGUAAUUCCGGUGAAGAUGCCGGAUACCUGCGACAGGACGGAAAGACCCCAUGGAGCUUUACUGUAGCUUGACAUUGGGUCUUGGUACUACAUGUACAGGAUAGGUGGGAGGCUUUGAAACCAGGACGCCAGUUUUGGCGGAGCCAUCCUUGGGAUACCACCCUUGUAGUACUGGGACUCUAACCAUAGGCCAUGAAUCUGGUCUUGGGACACUGUCAGGUGGGCAGUUUGACUGGGGCGGUCGCCUCCCAAAAGGUAACGGAGGCGCUCAAAGGUUCUCUCAGUACGGUCGGAAAUCGUACGUAGAGGGUAAAGGCAAAAGAGAGCUUGAUUGCAAGACAUACAGGUCGAGCAAGGAUGAAAAUCGGACUUAGUGAUCCGGUGGUUCUGCGUGGAAGGGCCAUCGCUCAACGGAUAAAAGCUACCCUGGGGAUAACAGGCUUAUCUCCCCCAAGAGUCCACAUCGACGGGGAGGUUUGGCACCUCGAUGUCGGCUCAUCACAUCCUGGGGCUGUAGUAGGUCCCAAGGGUUGGGCUGUUCGC